RNAcentral lists this small nuclear RNA (108 nucleotides) under Chinchilla lanigera (long-tailed chinchilla). Lineage: Eukaryota; Metazoa; Chordata; Mammalia; Rodentia; Chinchillidae. The record is from RNAcentral.
GUGCUCACUUCGGUGGCACUCGUACUAAAAUUUGGAACGAUACACAGAAGAUCAGCAUGGCCCCUGCCCAAGUUUGACAGGCAGAUUCGUGAGGCGAUUUAUAUUUUU